Molecule: long non-coding RNA, 1200 nt
Organism: Anthonomus grandis grandis
Lineage: Eukaryota; Metazoa; Arthropoda; Insecta; Coleoptera; Curculionidae
Exons: 2
Source: RefSeq, a predicted model, not a curated record
UAAGGUAACAUAAAUUUACCUUCUCUUGCCUAAAGAGAUACUAUCUAAAAAUGACAGCUGCUCAGAUCUUUUCUUUGCUGCUUCCCCAGACGAACCCGUGCUAGGUUUGCCUCGUCUCUUUAUGUAAUAUUCUCUUACAUAUCCCCAUCUCUUACUGCAGUCAUUAUCUAUAAAUAUAAAAAUAAAAACAAAGAGGCAAGUGUUCUAAAUUACUACAUGUUAUUUUUUUAGGUUUUUGGCUACAGGAGAAUCAUUUCGAUUCUUGGUGUUUCAGUUUAGAAUAUGCCAUUCGUGGAUUAGUGUAAUAAUAAUGCAGGUUGCUGAAUCCAUUGUUGCAAGAAUGCUUACUUUGGUAAUGCCACAACCAACAGAGGAAAUGUUCAAAACCAUCUCUACGAAAUUCAGAUCUCUUUGGGAUUUUCCGAACUGUGUUGGAGCAAUUGAUGGUAAGCAUAUUCGGAUAAAGGCUCCAAAAAAUAGUGGAUCCACUUUCUUCAACUGCAAGGACUUUCAUUCUGUAGUGAUGUUGGCACUUGUAGAUGCAGAUAAUAAUUUUGUUGCAGUAGACAUAGGAUCGUACGGCAGAGAAGGAGAUGCAGGCAUAUAUUUAAAAAGUAGAUUUGGAAAAAAAUUCUGAAAAAAGAAUUUAAUAUUCCACCGCCACAACCAUUGCCUGGCAUGAAUAUGCUGGUGCCCCAUGUUAUUCUCAGCGAUGAGGCAUUUGCUCUUCAUGAGCAUCUCAUGAAACCAUAUCCACGAAAUCAAUCAGUAUCUGAUAAAACUAAUAUAUCAAGCAAUCUAUAAUUACCGACUUUCCCGAGCUCGUAGGACAACUGAAAAUACCUUUGGCAUUCUUUGUGCAUUUUUUCGGAUAUUUUUUCAGCCAAUUGCUACGCGUCCGGAAACCACGGAUAAACUUAUAAUGUGUGCCUGUAUUUUAUAUAAUCUUCUGCGUGAAACAAAUAUUCUUCCGACAGUGACUAAUAGGACAGAGAAAUACUCACUUCCUACAGAAAAUUUACUUCCACUAAUUCACAACAACGUACGCGGGGCAAAUAUACCAGUUCAAAUUCGUGAGACAUUUAAAACGUAUUUUAAUGGACCCGGUGCUGUAGCAUGGCAGGAACAGCAUUACCGAGAAAACUAAAUCAAUCACAACAAUGUAAUAUAUUAAAAAUAUAUAUAUAUUUUUUAUGGUAA